Mastomys coucha (southern multimammate mouse) is the source of this 1367-nucleotide long non-coding RNA. RefSeq lists it as uncharacterized. Lineage: Eukaryota; Metazoa; Chordata; Mammalia; Rodentia; Muridae. The record is from RefSeq and is a predicted model, not a curated record. The transcript has 2 exons.
CUCACAAGGAUAAGUGGUUUGUUUUCUUUUUAAGUUCAAUUCUGAUGAACAAGACAAAUUUGUGUCCAAUUAGCUGGAACUAAAUUUAAUUCAGUUGAAACAGUUCUGGGAAGUAGUUAACAGUCUCAAUGGGGCCAGGGAGAGGCUGGGUCACUAGAGUGCUUGCCGCACAAACAUGGGGACUUGGUUGAGGAUCUCUAGCACAAACCUAAAAAGAAGCUGGAGAAAGAAGGUAUCACCAUAUUUUCAACUCUGUUCCCUGAGAAAAGCUGACAGUUCGAGAGAAACGUUAUCGGGCAAUGCUGGCCACAAGUACCAUGCACUUAACCAUCCACAAAGAAGCAAGAGUCUCUGGAGUGUAGCAAAUUGUAGAUUACUGAUAAAAAUGGGAAGAUCUGUGACUGAGAUUAUCGGAGGAAACAUUUCAGAAAAUGUCUUCCAUAUCAAAUUACACCUACUGUCUACGGUACUUGAUAGAGACAUACGUGGUAUCUUUGAUGUUGGCACAGUAAUUGUCAUAUUUUUUCCUAAUAACACUCAUCUUAUUUACUUUUAAAACAAUGUAAGUAGAAAAUCACACAUGUGUAGUUUGAAUGGGAAGUGUCUCAUGUAUUCCAACACUUGGUUGCCUGUUGGUGAUGUUGUUUGAGGUUACAAAGCCUUUAGGAGUUAGAACUUUGCUGGAGGAAGCAUGGGGGUGGGCUUUGAGGGCUUACAGCCUCUCCCUACUUCCUGUUCUCUCCCUAGCCCUUCCCUCCUUCCCCUCUCCCUGCUUCCUGUUUGUGAUUGAGGUGUGAUUUCUCAGCUUCCUACUCCUGUUGCCAGGCAGUGCCUUCGCCCCUGCCCUGAUGGGUUCACCUUGCUUCCUGAGUUGCCUUUGGUCAUGGCAUUUCUUCUCAGUGGGAGAGUUUGUUUUGGCUUAUAGUUCCAGAGGGUCAGAGACUUAAUAACAGGGACAACCUGUCGGGCAGGGGUGGCAGGAUGCGGGCACAAAACAGAGAGAGCCCUGGCCCACUCCUAGUCGGUUAUUUCUCCACAAAGCUGCAUCUUCCUAAACAGCACCACCAACUGGGCACCAAGUGUUCAAACGCCCGAGUCAUGGGGGCAUUUUCAUUGAAAACACUACACAACACUAGAUAUGCAUCUGAUCUAUUUCUGUUGAGGGGAAAACCAUGGUGCUGCUCUGAAGACAUAGUUUGCUUAUCCUGGACUGUUUAAUAGAGAGCCACCAAUGUUGAUAAAGUUCAUAGGCAAGCCAGGCUCUUGCCACCCUCUACCACCAAUUCUUCACCUGCAAGCUCUUUAGGGAUUCAUUGCACAUGAGUUCUGCUAUUAGGGAAAAAUAAAUGCUUUGCUGGUUUCACAUA